GGAAUAUGGGGGCCUUUGUCUCCGGCUGCAGCUGGAGUUCUACGUCUAGUCUUCAGAGGCCCAGUCUCCGUGACUUUGUGACCUGCAGGUAUUGGGAGAUCCACAGCUAAGAUGCCAGGACCCCCUGGAAGCCUAGAAAUGGUGAGAGUGCCGGGUCCGACAUCCUGAGAAAAGGGAAGGAGUUGAUUGGAACUGGUGGCAAGUGGCUGUGGUGGGACUCGGGUCUCCCGUCAGUCAGCUCCACAGUCUGCGCCCCGAGUUCUCCUUGGCCAACUCAGCCUCAGUCCUCUUCAGCCAUAGCAUGGUGGCUGCGCUGACAGCAGGACCCUGGGCUGAAGGUGUGGGUUGCCCCUCCACACCUGUGGGUGUUUCUCGUUAGGUGGAAGGAGAGACUUGGAAAAGAGAAAGACACAGAGACAAAGUAUAGAGAAAGAAAUAAGGGGACCCAGGGAACCAGCGUUCAGCAUAUGGAGGAUUCCACCAGCCUCUGAGUUCCCUUAGUAGUUAUUGAUCAUUCAUGGGUGUUUCUCCAAGAGGGGGAUGUGUCAGGGUCACAAGACAAUAGUGGGGAGAGGGUCAGCAGACAAACACAUGAACAAAGGUCUUUGCAUCAUAGACAAGGUAAAGAAUCAAGUGCUGUGCUUUUAGAUGUGCAUACACAUAAACAUCUCAAUGCUUUACAAAGCAGUAUUGCUGCCCACAUGUCCCACCUCCAGCCCUAAGGUGGUUUUUUCCUAUCUCAGUCGAUGGAACGUACAAUCAGGUUUUAUACCGAGACAUUCCAUUGCCCAGGGACAGGGAGGAGACAGAUGCCUUCCUCUUGUCUCAACUGCAAGAGGCAUGCCUUCCUCUUAUACUAAUCCUCCUCAGCACAGACCCUUCAUGGGUGUCGGGCUGGGGGGCGGUCAGGUCUUUCCCUUCCCACGAGGCCAUAUUUCAGACUAUCACAUGGGGAGAAACCUUGGACAAUACCUGGCUUUCCUAGGCAGAGGUCCCUGCGGCCUUCCGCAGUUUUUGUGUCCCUGAGUACUUGAGAUUAGGGAGUGGUGAUGACUCUUAAGGAGCGUGCUGCCUUCAAGCAUCUGUUUAACAAAGCACAUCUUGCACAACCCUUAAUCCAUUUAACCCUGAGUUUGACACAGCACAUGUUCCAGAGAGCACAGGGUUGGGGGUAAGAUUAUAGAUUAACAGCAUCUCAAGGCAGAAGAAUUUGUCUUAGUACAAAACAAAAUGGAGUCUCCUAUGUCUGUCUACUUUCUACACAGACACAGUAACAAUCUGAUCUCUCUUGCUUUUCCCCACACUGGGCGUCCUGUCUGCACAGUGACCCAGUGAUGGUCCCCUGGCCUGGAGGCCUCUCUGGGCAGCUCUGCAGCCGCAGCGCCUUGUCUCUGGCCAAUUGUGCAGGGACCAUGGGAGGGUAGUCAGGGGAGAAUCCCGACUCGGGUGAGGGUUCAUGAAUGGGAAGAGUUUUGGUCGGUGGGGUUCCUAGUCCCUCUUUUCAUCUAUUAAAAAUUUAUGGAGUCACCGCAAAAAGAUUAAAGAAUUUAAUCAAAGAGUGGCUCAAAAAUUGUAGAGUACCCAGCUAUGGGUUUUAGUUUGUGGUUCAUGGGAGGAACUUGAAGGAAAGACUUUUAUAAGGUCCAUGAUUAAAAAAAAAAAAACAAAUUCAAUAAUCGGUUAGGUACAGUUACCUACUUUUUUUUGUUUUUUUUUUUGAGACAGUUUUGCUCUGUCACCCAGGCUGAAGUGCAGUGGCGCGAUCUCAGCUCACUGCAACCUCUCGGUGUCAAGCGAUUCUCCUGCCUCAACCUCCCGAGCAGCUGGGACUACAGGGAGUCACGUACUUUCUUAAUUUCCACUUUGAGUGUGUAAAUUUUCUGGUUAUGUAAUCAGAGCUUAAUUGGCCAUUUAUAGUUAGUUGGUUAAGCUUAAAUUUUGUUUUCCCCAAUGCAAUUUACAAAAAUUUACAAAAAAAAAAAAUAUAUGUUUGAGGAUACACACUUCACAAGAGACUGAUUUUUUUUUUCCCCUGAAUUUUUUAAAUGUGUCCCAAGUGCGGUCUCAAGUCUAGCCCUCAUCCCCCAUUCCUCCAGCCUAACUCAGGCUUGAAGUAAAAUACUAAAUUUCCAGUUCCUUCUGACAAUCCCAAAUGCCAGCCUCGUUUCCCUAGUUCACAUUGUCAUCUAUUUGUCCUUUAGUGUAUAUUUUCAAUACUGUAUUUUUUUUUACAAACCACUGGAUGGCACAUUUUAAAAGAUUCAUUUUCUGUUUGUAAAUAUUUCCCAUGAGAAGAAAGCAAAGAAUAACCCCUGACACUGUGUUGUGUAAAAUCUCUGUGCCUCUUUUCCUUUUACCUUCCCUAGGCAGAGAUCUUACCAGAAUGCUUUGGGGUAAAGGUUUUUUUUUGGCGGGGGGAAGCUUUAUUGGGUGAUGUGUCCUCAACCACCCUUUAGUUUUUUCUUGGUCAUCGGUUUCAGUACUGUCUGUGAAUAAACCAUUAUAUCAGCCAUGGCUAUGUCUGCUAGAGUGUCUAGGGAAUCUCAGGUCCUGGGUCAUUUUCUUUCAUAGGACAGCCUGAGGUAUGGAGUGUAGCCUCUCAAGGAAGCAGAUGGAUGCACUGGGGCUGAGAGAAAUCUCCUGGUGUGCUCUUCCUUUAAAAAAGUAACCCCUUGAGACAUUAACAUUGUUUUCACCCAACCCAGCUUUCAUAUCUUGGUGACACAUUGCUGGUCAGCCAAUCAGAGGCUGGUAUUAAGGGGAAAACAGAAAUAAUUUCUGUCCCCUGAAUUCUCUAAGAUUUGUGAAAGAAAAAAUAGUAUCCCCCCUAAAAAAAAAACAAAAGAAAACCUGACCCCAGAGAGAUGCUGCAAAAAUUUCCGAAAGUAAAACCUGGGCCACUCACUGGAACAUAGUGCAGUGUCUCCUGAGAGGUUAGUCAUUGAGCAGUUAAGUGAGCAGGCUGGGGUGGGAGAAUCUCUCACGUGAUUGGAUGACCUGACUUGACACAUAAGUCAGACACAUCUGUUUUUUAAUCAUCACUGCUACACCCUGGGUUCGUCACCUUGAAAAGAUUUGUUCACUUAUAUUGAUUUCAAUUUCUUAAACUGUAAAUUGCAUUUUAUUAGUAGAGCUUGAAAGGUUCAAAAACAUUUACAAAGGGCAUAAAAGUGGUGGGUUUCAAAAAAUAUUAAUAUCUAAUCAUAUAUUUCGUAUGUUAAAAAUUCUUACUUACCUUUUUCUUUCCCAGAGAGAGUUUAGGAAUUUUCUCAGGUGUGUUUUCUGUAGGUGAUUUCAAACAGAAUUCCAAGGCUCAGCUUUUAGAAUGCUACCAAGGAAAAUAAUAGGGAAAAUCUCCUUCGAUUUUGGCUGUAGAAAAUGAAUACAUUUCCACGAGGAAAUAUUGUAGAUAAUUGAUGGAGUUUUGCUCCUGUUGCCCAGGCUGGAAAUGCUAUCGUGUGAUCUUGGCUCACUGCAACCUCCCCAUCCCAGGUUCAAGCAAUUCUCCUGCCUCAGCCUCCCGACUAGCUGGGAUUACAGGCAUGCGCCACCACGCCUGGCUAAUUUUGUAUUUUUAGUAGAGAUGGGGAUUCUCCAUGUUGGCCAGGCUCAUCUCAAACUCCCAACCUGAGGUAAUCCACCCGCCUUGGCCUCCCAAAGUGCUGGGAUUACAGGUGUGAGCCACUGUGUCCGGCACCUUUUUUUUGAGAACAAGAAGAAAAUGUGCAGAGUCUGUGUCUGGCUAUGUGAUAGGUAAGAAAAGACAGCACCAUCUAAGUCAUAAUGGGAAGGGUGUUUCUUUCCAUAAGCUGUUCCUGGAGCACACGAUGGAUGGAUAAUUUUAUUAAUCACAGCUAUUUUCUAGGAUUAUGUAUAAGCUUCAUUUUUUCCCAGCUCUUUUUUUGGUCCUAUAUGUUUUUUCCAUUUGACUUUUCCUGGGUUGUGGCUUUUACAAUAAACUGGUAAACAUGCUGAGUUCUGUGAGUAGCUCUAUCAAAUUAUUGAACUUCAGGGAGCUUAUGGGAGUUCUGAAUUUUUAAACAGUAGCUUACAAGCACAGAUGGGCCCAAGGGGUUUGUGAUUGGCAUCUGCUGUGAGGUCAAUGUAUUGAGACUAAGCCUGGAAUCAGGUUCUGUGCUGACUCUGGGUAGGGUCAGAAUUCAAAUGUUGGACAAUUAGUUGGUGUUGCAGAAUUGCUUGGUGUACAGCUAACUCUACACAUUUGGUGACAGAGAAAAGAUAUGGAAUCCUGGCUUGGACUAAUCGCUCGGUGUCUGGGAAUGGGAGGCUCUGCUCUCCUGUACACAGGCUGUCACGCUGCCCAUUGUCCUGUGAUUCUAGGUCUCCUCCCAGAGUGAGAGAGGAUGAAAACUUAAGGAGCUCUGAUGACAGUCCCCCUUUUCCCACAGCUGCCACCACAGUAUUCCCACCCACUCAUAAACAUACCCACUAGACAUUGACAUGUCCACACCCCUCCCCGGACUAGACACCACCAUCAGGAACUUCACCAUGGCAUUUUUCAUUCUAGUGUUUCUUGCCAAAAACCCACAAAAGUGUCUAUAAGUCUGGCAUAUCCCCACACCCAGACACUGAAUCUGCAGCAGAAACCUGUUUUCUCCACCUAGGGUUCUGGGCCACCUGUUCAUAACCUCAUCAGUCUACAUGGACCCAGAAAUAGCACAAACCAGUUCUUCUGCCUACAUUAGACUCUCCCCCACUAAUGGAGUUUUUACUUUUUAAUGUUUAUUUUUGGUUCAGGGGUACAUGUGCAAGUUUAUUAUAUAGAUAAAACUGUCAUGGAAAUUUGGUAUAGAUUAUUUUAUCACUGAAGUACUAAGCAUAGUACCCAACAGGUAUUUUUUCUGAUCUUUAUCCUUCCACUCUCUACUCCAAAGUGGGCCUCAGUGUCUGUUCCUCUCUUUGUGUCCAUGGUUUCCUUUUCUUUUUCUUUUUUUUUUUUUUAAGACAGAUUCUUGCUCUGUCACCCAGGCUGGAGUGCAGUGGUGCCAUCUCGACUCACUGCAACCUUGGCCUCCUGGGUUCAAGUGAUUAUUCUGCCUCAGCCUCUCAAGUAGCUGGGAUUACAGGCAUGCACCACCAUGCACGGCUAAUUUUUGUAUUUGUAGUAGAGAUGAGGUUUUGCCAUCUUGGCCAGGCUGGUCUUGAACUCCUGACCUCUGGUGAUCUGCCCACUUUGGCCUCCCAAAGUGCUGGGAUUACAGGUGUGAGCCACCGUGCCCAGCCUGUGUCCAUGUUUCCUUUUCUUUUUUUUUCUUUUUCUUUUUUUUUUUUUUUUGAGACAGAGUCUCACUCUGUCUCCCAGGCUGGAGUGCAGUGGCAUGAUGAUCUCGGCUCACUGCAAGCUCCACCCCCCGGGUUCACGCCAUUCUCCUGCCUCAGCCUCCUGAAUAGCCUCCCGAAUAGGUGCCUGCCACCACGCCCAGCUAAUUUUUUUUUUUGUAUUUUUUUUUAGUAGAGACGGGGUUUCACUGUGUUAGCCAGGUUGCUCUUGAUCUCCUGACCUCGUGAUCCACCUGUCUCAGCCUCCCAAAGUGCUGGGAUUACAGGCGUGAGCCACCGCACCUGGCCUCAUGUUUUCUUGUUAUUAUCUCUUAACUUAUAAAUAAGAACAUGCGUUUGGUUUUCUCUUUCUGUAUUAGUUUUCUAAGGAUAAUGGGCUUCAGCUCUGUUCAUGUUGCUGCAAAGGACAUAAUCUUGUUCUUUUUUUAUGGCCACACAGUAUUCCAUGAUGUUUAUGUACCAUAUUUUCUUUUAAAUAUUUUAUUUUAUUUUGGGGGGAGACCCAGGCUGGAGUCUGGGCGCCCACUGUCCUGUGAUGGGCACAAUCUUGGCUCACUGAAGCCUCAACAUCUUGCAUUCAAGCAAUCCUCCUACCUCAGCUCUCCAAGUAGCUGGGGCUACAGGUGCACACCACCACGACUGGCUAAUUUUUCUUUCUGUAUUUUUUGUAGACCAACAAAUGUUGCCUUGGUUGGUCUCAAACUCGAACUUAGGCAAUCCAUCUGUUUUGACCUCCCACAUUCUGGAAUUAUAAGCAUGAGCCACUUUGCCCAGCCAUACCAUAUUUUCUUUAUCCAGUCUGCCAUUUUUGAUGAGCAUGUUGAUUCCAUGUCUUUGCUAUUGUGAAUAGUGCCACAGUGAACAUGCAUGUCUAUGACAGAAUAACUUAUAUUUCUUUGGGCAUAUACCCAAUUAUGAGGUUGCUGGGUCAAAUGGUAAUUCUGUCUUUAAUUCUGUGAGGAAUCACCACACUGGUUUUCACGAUGGUUGAACUAAUUUACACUCCCACCAGCAGUGUGUAAGCAUUCCCUUUUCUCCACAACCUUGCCAGCAUCUGUCAUUUUUUAACUUUUGAGUAAUAGCCAUUCUGACUGGUGUGAGAAAGUAUUUUGCUGUGGUUUUUCUUUGCAUAUCUCUACUGAUUGGUGAUGAGCAUUUUUUCAUAUGCUUUUAGCCACACACAUGUCUUUUUUUAAAAAGCAUCUGUUCAGGCCGGACGUGGUGGCUCACGCCUGUAAUCCCAGCACUUUGGGAGGCCGAGGCAGGUGGAUCACGACGUCAAGAGU
Molecule: long non-coding RNA, 6587 nt
Filed under: Homo sapiens (human)
Lineage: Eukaryota; Metazoa; Chordata; Mammalia; Primates; Hominidae
Description: non-protein coding lnc-ZNF708-14:3
Source: RNAcentral